CAGUCGCCACGGUAAUACGGAGGGUGCAAGCGUUAUCCGGAUUUAUUGGGUUUAAAGGGUCCGUAGGCGGAUCUGUAAGUCAGUGGUGAAAUCUCACAGCUUAACUGUGAAACUGCCAUUGAUACUGCAGGUCUUGAGUAAAUUUGAAGUGGAUGGAAUAAGUAGUGUAGCGGUGAAAUGCAUAGAUAUUACUUAGAACACCAAUUGCGAAGGCAGGUCACUAAGAUUUAACUGACGCUGAUGGACGAAAGCGUGGGGAGCGAACAGGAUUAGAUACCCCCGUAGUCCCUGUCUCUUAUAC
RNAcentral lists this ribosomal RNA (301 nucleotides) under uncultured bacterium. Its description in RNAcentral is "partial 16S ribosomal RNA". It matches the Rfam family "Bacterial small subunit ribosomal RNA", at positions 509 to 807 of the family's 1533-position model. The record is from RNAcentral.